This 433-nucleotide ribosomal RNA is filed under the name uncultured bacterium. Its description in RNAcentral is "partial 16S ribosomal RNA". It matches the Rfam family "Bacterial small subunit ribosomal RNA", at positions 29 to 507 of the family's 1533-position model. The record is from RNAcentral.
AACGAACGCUGGCGGCAGGCCUAACACAUGCAAGUCGAGCGCGCCCUUCGGGGUGAGCGGCGGACGGGUGAGUAACGCGUGGGAACGUGCCCUUUUCUACGGAAUAGCCUCGGGAAACUGAGAGUAAUACCGUAUACGCCCUUUGGGGGAAAGAUUUAUCGGAAAAGGAUCGGCCCGCGUUGGAUUAGGUAGUUGGUGGGGUAAUGGCCUACCAAGCCGACGAUCCAUAGCUGGUUUGAGAGGAUGAUCAGCCACACUGGGACUGAGACACGGCCCAGACUCCUACGGGAGGAAGCAGUGGGGGAGAUUGGAAAAUGGGGGAAAGCAUGAUCCAGCAAUGCCGCGUGAGUGAUGAAGGCCUGAGGGUUGGAAAGCUCUUUUACCCGGGAGGAUAAUGACGGUACCGGGAGAAUAAGAUCCGGCUAACUCCGGG